RNAcentral lists this ribosomal RNA (1797 nucleotides) under Capsicum annuum. RNAcentral's name for it is "bacterial SSU rRNA". It matches the Rfam family "Eukaryotic small subunit ribosomal RNA". The record is from RNAcentral. Lineage: Eukaryota; Viridiplantae; Streptophyta; Magnoliopsida; Solanales; Solanaceae. RNAcentral also lists the same sequence under 1 other name.
CUUAGUUGAUCCUUCCAGUAGUCAUAUGCUUGUCUCAAAUAUUAAACCAUGCAUGUGUAAGUAUGAACAAAUUCAGAUUGUGAAACUUCGAAUGGCUCAUUAAAUCAGUUAUAGUUUGUUUCAUGGUAUCUACUACUCAGAUAACCAUAGUAAUUAUAGAGCUAAUAUGUACAACAAACCCUAACUUCUGGAAGGGAUGCAUUUAUUUGAUAAAAGUUCAACGCGGGCUCUGCCCAUUGUUGCGAUGAUUCAUGAUAACUCGGUGGAUCGCAUAGCUAUCAUAUCGGUGAUGCAUCAUUCAAAUUUUUACCCUAUCAACUUUUGAUGGUAGGAUGGUGGCCUACCAAGUGGUGUUAGGUGAUGGUGAAUUAGGGUUCAAUUUCAGAGAGGCAGCCUGAGAAAUAGGUACCAUAUCCAAGGAAGGCAUAAGGCACGCAAAUUACCUAAUCCUAACAUGUGGAGGUAGUGACAAUAAAUAACAAUACUGGGCUCAAUGAGUCUGCUAAUUAGAAUUAGUAAAAUCUAAAUCCCUCAACGAGGAUCCAUUGGAAGUUAAGUCUUGUACCAGUACCCGCGUUAAUUACAGCUCCAAUAGCAUAUAUUUAAGUUGUUGCAGUUAAAAAGAUCGUAGUUGAACUUUGGGAUGGGCCGGCCGGUCUGCCUAUGGUGUACACUGGUCGUCUUGACCCUUUUGUCAGUGAUAUGCUCCUGGCCUUAACUGGUCAGGUCGUGCCUCCGGCGCUGUUACUUUGAAGAAAUUAGAGUGCUUAAAGCAAUCCUACGCUCUGUAUACAUUAGCAUGGGAUAACAUUAUAGGAUUUUGGUCCUAAUACAUUGGCCUUUCGGAUCGUAGUAAUAAUUAACAGGGACAGUCGGGGGCAUUCGUAUUUCAUAGUUCGAGGUGAAACUCUUGGAUUUAUGAAAGAUGCACAACUGUGAAAGCAUUUGCCAAGGAUGUUUUAAUUAAUAAACAAGAAAAGUUGGGCGUUCGAAGAUGAUCAGGAACCGUCAUAAUCUCAACCAUAAAUGAUACCGAUCAAGGAUUGGUGGAUGUUGAUUUUAUGACUACACCGACACUUUAUAAGAAAUCAAAGUUUAUGAAUUUCGGGGGGAGUAUGGUCUCAAGGCUAAAACUUAAAGGAAUUGACGGAAGGGCACCACCAAGAGUGGAGCCUACGGCUUAAUUUGACUUAACACGGGGAAACUUACUAGGUCCAGUCAUAGUAAGGAUUGACAGACUGAGAGCUGUUUCUUGAUUCUAUAGGUGGAAUGGCAUGGCCAUUCUUAGUUGGAGGAGUGAUUUUUCUGGUUAAUUCUAUUAACAAACGAGAGCUCAUCCUGCUAAAUAGCUAUGUAGAGGUAUCUCUUCACGGCCAGCUUCUUAGAGGGAUUACGACAUUUUAGGCGACAGAAGUUUGAGGCAAUAACAAGUCUGUGAUUCCCUUAGAUGCUUUAGGCCGCACGCGCGCUACACUGAUAUUUUAAAUGAGUUUAUGGACUUGGCUGAUAGUCCUGGGUAAUCUAUGAAAUUUCAUCAUGAUAGGGAUAGAUCAUUGCAAUUGUUGGUCUACAACAAGGAAUUCCUAGUAAGUAUGACUCAUCAGCUCGCAUUGACUAUGUCCCUAUCCUUUGCACACACCGCCCGUCGCUCCUACUGAUUGAAUGAUACGGUAAAAUGUUUGGAUCAUAGUGAUGUGGAUGGUUUUCUGCCUGCGAUGUCGUGAGACAUCUAUUGAACCUUAUCAUUUAGAGGAAGGAGAAGUUUUAACAAGGUUUUCGUAGGUGAACCUGCAGAAG